CUGGGUUUCGGACCUCGUGUCCACUCACCCGCCCUUUGUCAUAUACAUCCACAUCAUUUCGGCCCCUGAUCCCCAGACGCCCCCGCUGUUAACUCAGUGGGGUACCGCCUGUUGGUCGCGGGUCGGCAUUGCAAACCCACGCGGAUUACUGAAGUCUGAUACAAUUUUUUAAACGAAAUUA
RNAcentral lists this unclassified non-coding RNA (181 nucleotides) under uncultured Ascomycota. RNAcentral describes it as "sequence contains ITS1". The record is from RNAcentral. Lineage: Eukaryota; Fungi; Ascomycota.